AUUGAACGCUGGCGGCAUGCUUUACACAUGCAAGUCGAACGGUAACAGGGUGCUUGCACCGCUGACGAGUGGCGAACGGGUGAGUAAUGCGUCGGAACGUGCCGAGUAGUGGGGGACAACGCAGCGAAAGUUGUGCUAAUACCGCAUACGUACUGAGGUAGAAAGUGGGGGACCUUCGGGCCUCACGCUAUUCGGGCGGCCGACGUCUGAUUAGCUAGUAGGUGAGGUAAAGGCUCACCUAGGCGACGAUCAGUAGCGGGUCUGAGAGGAUGAUCCGCCACACUGGGACUGAGACACGGCCCAGACUCCUACGGGAGGCAGCAGUGGGGAAUUUUGGACAAUGGGCGAAAGCCUGAUCCAGCCAUGCCGCGUGUCUGAAGAAGGCCUUCGGGUUGUAAAGGACUUUUGUCAGGGAGGAAAUCCCUAGUGCUAAUAACACUGGGGGAUGACAGUACCUGAAGAAUAAGCACCGGCUAACUACGUGCCAGCAGCCGCGGUAA
RNAcentral lists this ribosomal RNA (500 nucleotides) under uncultured bacterium. Its description in RNAcentral is "partial 16S ribosomal RNA". It matches the Rfam family "Bacterial small subunit ribosomal RNA", at positions 30 to 523 of the family's 1533-position model. The record is from RNAcentral.